Non-coding RNA from Malus domestica (apple), 2874 nucleotides. The record is from RefSeq and is a predicted model, not a curated record. Lineage: Eukaryota; Viridiplantae; Streptophyta; Magnoliopsida; Rosales; Rosaceae.
UUUUAUGACGCUUAUAAGCGACAGUAAAUCCGACGUCAUGUUCAAUUAGUGUCACAACUGCCUAAUCCGCCACUAUAUUAGAUUAAAGCGACACCACCCUCCGACACUAUAACCCCCUUUUGUAGUAGUGAUCGGUGGUGAGCAAGGCAGUGGAGGUUGGCAACAAGAAUAACCUCACCUUCACCGUCAGGAACUACGCCGACUUCGUCAUCCAGCAUGCCGGCCAAGCCGUCGCUGACGGAGCUAAAUGGGAGGUCGGAGCUUUAGGAGUGUGAAGAAUAGUAUACAGAGAUGGGAGGAAGCAGCUGUUUCCUGUAGGUAAUUUUUGCUCUGACUUAUUUAGAUUUUAUAUUCUGGGUUAAUUAUCAACCGGAUUUUGUUACUAGAUUUAGAAUUGUAAUUUGGUACCACUUCUGCCACAUGCCGCUUCAGUUUUCACAUCCUAAUGCCACGAAAUGCUAAUUUUAAACUCUAGGUUAUGGGUAAGGAUUAGUAUUUGGAGGCACAAAUUCUUCUCAGCUGCUAAACCAAGUUCAAAAUCAUUUUGCGCGUGGUUUACAUUAGGCUAUUCAAGCCCUAUUUUAAAUGUAUGAUUGGUUUAUGUGAAAUGAAAGAGAGUUAGAAUACCUUGUGAGAUGACUGAUUCGAGAACCCAUUUUAAAUAAAACGUAUCAAAAGUGUUGAGCUGAGAGCGAAGAGAUUCUUUGCAUGGAAAACAGAUUUCACUUUGUUUUCUUUACUCAAAGUGCUCUUAUUUAAUCUGGUUCUGUUUCGGUUGCAUAGUAUGUGGUUCGCAGCGACUAAGAAUCGUUUCCUAAGAAAUCUAUUGAGCUAAGUUCUUUUUGGUAGGAAAUUAGGGUUGCUGAUGUUAGCAAUGGAUUGAGUCUUUCUGUUUGGUAUGAUUAUAUCUCUGAACAAGCAUUAAUAAAUAGAACGAUUUCCAUCAAUAAUUUUAUUCGGUCAAGAUUCAAACUCCCAUUGUAGAUCAAACUAUAAGUCAAACUCCCAUUGCAGAUCAAACUAUAAGUCAAACUCCCAUUGCAGAGCAAACUAUAAGUCAAACCCCAUUUCAGAACAAACUGGGAACGAGGAGGCGCAAUAGGGUAUGGCUAUUUCCGGGCCGUCGUUCAUUUUGAGAUUCUGGAACCUAGAAGAGUCUUGAAUUCAGUUUUCAAACUCUGACUGAAAAUGGAACUUGGUGCUAUUAAGCUAUCAUCCUCAGCCAGGUAGCGCCAUGACUUUUACAUUGCUGCUUUCAUUUUAUGUACUAAUUAUUGUUCUAUGAAUUGUAUUCUUCAGUUAAAUAAUGAUUCAUCCUCCUUUUCCCAUCUCCUUGGUUUUUUCGUUUAGAUUUUUCUGUUUGCGUAUUAUAAUUUUUUUGGGUAUUGGUUACUGUGCACUUAUUAGGUAAGUCAAUUCUCAUGUGAUUUGUACAUUCACAUUCCUGGGUGUAUAAUUUAUAAUAUGUGAACAUAUUAUAGUAACUAAGUUUAAUCCCUGAAUUUAUUAUUUAACUGGGAUGUAGAUUUCAUAAUUGAAAUUAUGUUAAAUGUGAAUUGUUAGUGAUUACACUUCACUCAAUUAUAUCAAUCCUCUUCAAUAUGUAGAUGUAAGUUCGUUAUUAGUGCCAUUAAGGGUUGAUUAAUCCUCAUAUGCGUAGCAAUAAUUAUUAGUGCCAUGUAGUGUUGGUACUUAUAUAAACGCAUUUUAAACGAAUGUUAGUAUAUUCUUAGGGAUGUUAACAACACUACUCUCUAGUUUAGCCAGGUACCUACUUUGGUUUUUUCGUUCCCUCAUCAUAUGCUUUGCACAAUCGUAACUAUGAGCUAAAUACUAAUGGGUGAAUAAUGAAUGUUCUGCUGAGUAGUAUGUUAUUACCAAUCUUGGUAGAUUUACAAAGCAUAUGAGAGAAUUCGUCAGUAGAGUUAAUCAUCUGUAACAAUAAAUGUUAAUUAUUCAAGCUUGAUUUCUUGGCAAUGGCUUCCUUCGUUAGCGUCUACAACUACGUCUCUCUUCACUUUCCCACUUCCUCCGGUCUCUCUUUCUCUUUCUAAUCUCUACUGAGUUUCUUUCAAUCUGUCAAUUUAUAUAAUUUAUUCUUUGAUGUGAUAUUUGGUGCGUUUGAUUUGGUUUUGUGAAUGUCUUCCUGACUUUUCUUCUUUGGAUUCAAAUAAUAAGUUCAAUGGUUAUAUACAUAACAGAAUAGUGAUUUGCGAACAAGGCAAUUCAAAGCUUGAAAAUUUGUAUAUCAUGCUAAGCUGACUACCUUUUUUCCCCACUUUUUCGACUUUGAGGAAUUGCAGUAUUUUAGCCCAACUUGCUAAAAUUUUUGUUUAUUUUUAAAUGAAUUCUAUAUGAAUUUACUUGGAAAUGUUAUAUGAAUUUUGUAUAAACUUGAAUAAAACUUAUAUCUGCAGGUUGAAUGUGUCCUUUGCCAACUAUUUUUUGGUAUAAGAAAAAGAUUACAUUAUACACACACAAUGCAAUGUGUUACCUAUCUGUUUAUAUACAUGUUAUAUUAAUACAUAUAAUGUUACAUGUUAAACAAAGCAAUAGAUGCCAAGCCAAAAGUGAGAAUGGGAACGAAGAAUCCAUGUCAAAAUCUCGCAUUUGUUCAAAGUGGUCUUGAUGGAACAUGGAAUCCAUAUCACCAAGUGUACUAAUUCAAGGUUCAUUGUUUAAUUCUUAAAUUAAAAUUAAUUUUGUCUUGACUCCAGUUUCUUCAUGCCUUUCUUAACUUCACAUGCAUAGUUGAUAAAGAGCUUCAGGAGGGUCAUUACUAAACAUCUACAAAUUUGUUAAGCCUAAGGCUUCCAGUUAUCAAACUACAGGUAACUACGGAUUAGUAGAUGUUUAGUAAUGACCCUUCUGAAA